RNAcentral lists this ribosomal RNA (492 nucleotides) under uncultured bacterium. Its description in RNAcentral is "partial 16S ribosomal RNA". It matches the Rfam family "Bacterial small subunit ribosomal RNA", at positions 29 to 507 of the family's 1533-position model. The record is from RNAcentral.
AGUGAACGCUGGCGGUAGGCCUAACACAUGCAAGUCGAACGGCAGCACAGUAAGAGCUUGCUCUUACGGGUGGCGAGUGGCGGACGGGUGAGGAAUACAUCGGAAUCUACUUUUUCGUGGGGGAUAACGUAGGGAAACUUACGCUAAUACCGCAUACGACCUACGGGUGAAAGCAGGGGAUCUUCGGACCUUGCGCGAUUGAAUGAGCCGAUGUCGGAUUAGCUAGUUGGCGGGGUAAAGGCCCACCAAGGCGACGAUCCGUAGCUGGUCUGAGAGGAUGAUCAGCCACACUGGAACUGAGACACGGUCCAGACUCCUACGGGAGGCAGCAGUGGGGAAUAUUGGACAAUGGGCAGAAGCCUGAUCCAGCCAUACCGCGUGGGUGAAGAAGGCCUUCGGGUUGUAAAGCCCUUUUGUUGGGAAAGAAAAGCAGCAGGUUAAUACCCCGCUGUUCUGACGGUACCCAAAGAAUAAGCACCGGCUAACUUCGUG